AGUCACUGACAUUAGAUACCCCGGUAGUCCCAGCCGUAAANAAUGUGCGUUAGGUACGUCGGUAACCACGUGUUACUGAUGUGCCGAAGAGAAAUCGUGAAACGCACCACCUGGGAAGUACGGUCGCAAGGCUGAAACUUAAAGGAAUUGGCGGGGAGCACCACAACAGGUGGAGCCUGCGGUUUAAUUGGAUUCAACGCCGGACAUCUCACCGGAUAAGACAGCUGAAUGAUUGUCAAUCUGAAGGUUUUACAUGACUAGCUG
RNAcentral lists this ribosomal RNA (264 nucleotides) under uncultured archaeon. RNAcentral's name for it is "partial 16S ribosomal RNA". It matches the Rfam family "Archaeal small subunit ribosomal RNA", at positions 718 to 982 of the family's 1478-position model. The record is from RNAcentral.